This is a long non-coding RNA of Gymnodraco acuticeps, 1630 nucleotides long. RefSeq lists it as uncharacterized. The record is from RefSeq and is a predicted model, not a curated record. The transcript has 3 exons. NCBI's taxonomy places the organism in Eukaryota, Metazoa, Chordata, Actinopteri, Perciformes, Bathydraconidae.
CAAAAUAAAACAGGAAACCAAAGACAGAAAAAGACAAGACAAAACACAACACAGGCAGAUCGUGACAGUAAUAUAGAUUCAGUGCACUGCUACAGCCUGGAAUGAUAAUUUUGUUAAACAUUAGAUGAAUAUUAUUUAUACCUGAUAUUACUGAGUAACUGUCCUGACUUAAAGACUUUGAUUAUUUCAGUGACAGAAGGAGCAGCAUGGAGGACUUUGCGGGAUUUUUUUACCUGCCCAUAAAACCGCACCAAGAGAUCAUGGACUUAACGUUCAGUCUACAUCCUGCAGUGGAGAAAGCUGUGUGUGUGAGGACCAGCAGUAAGGGAUAUCCUCCGUCUUUCUAGAGUCUCUCAAUCUCACAGUGAUGAUGCUGUCAGGAGGAAGGAAUCCUUGAAGUCGAGACACUGAGACUCUUUAUUCCAGUUAAAGCGACUUGCAGAUGACACAAAAAUCCAAACUGCGAUUUUUGCACUGAAAUUGUUGUCAUGUCUGAAUCUUUGCACAUAUUAUUUCAGUUUUUAUGUAUAAUCUUAUUUGUGUAUGUUGCCGAUCAUGACGCUAACACAAGGAUAAAGUGGCUAGUUGAUAUUGGUAAAUGUCAUAGAACAGUAGGUUCAUCCAGUAAUGUCUCGUUUAUCUUCCUGUGUGGAAUUUUGGAAUUGGAAAAGAUAAUACUGGUGAAAUGAGUUCUAUAUUUUUAAGCUAAAAAGCUUUUAUGUUACUGGCAAGCGACCACAAGAGUUAAAUUGCAGAUCAAAUAAAAAUAAACAGUCAGAACAUGAUCCAGGCAGCUGUUAUACUUCACAGCAAAAUAUCAGCAAAAAGUUUAUUUUUCCAGACCACAAUUUUCAAAUAUUACUUAACUGUAAUUUUAUUUUUGACGGAUAAGGUAUUCUAGCUGCUUUACCCUUAAAUGUUAUUAAUGUUUAUCUGUUUUUUGAGGAUUAAGAUUGUGUCCUUUUUUGUCCUGUUGUUGAUCUGCAAUUAGUUUUAUAUAAAAUAUUGGUGAAAUGCAACAACCCUAAAGUACACCGUUACACUGAGAAAUUAAAUAAUUAUUUUUGUACAGAAAAAAAGGAUCACUCAUUAAUUUAAAUAAAUAAUAUGUUAAGAUCAAAUAAAUAGCUGCAUUUUACAGCCUUUGUCAUUUCAAAUUCAUUGGUAUUUUGCCUUUUUCAUCUGAUCACCAAACAGAUACCAUUUAAUACAUAAACAUACGUUAUUAGUUUAUUUUGUAUACCUGUAUAAUGUUUGGGUUUAUGAGUUGAGCAAUAAUCUAACAUAACAAGAAAAACAGCAAUACAGAACAUUGGGUUUAGGGCAAAUCGGUGAAUAUUAAAUAACACAUUUUGAAGGCUUUGGUGAGAACUAUACAGAAACUACAAAUCCUGGAAAACAUGUCAUUUUUUUGUCCUUCAAAAGUUCCAUUAAAUGAAAAAUAUUUGCCAAAUUGUUCCUGAAUAAGCUGCAUAAUGUACCAUUUAUAUAACCCUGUAUUUUUGUAUGAAUGUUGUAUUGGUGGUGGUCCCUGUGGGAUUGAAACUGUAACUGUGCAUCACAAGCUUAUGUUUUUAGUGCCUUCUUCUUUGUAUUUCACAAUUGUUCUACAAUAAAGUUGUAAAUAUAA